UGGGGAAUAUUGGACAAUGGGCGAAAGCCUGAUCCAGCAAUGCCGCGUGUGUGACGAAGGCCUGCGGGUUGUAAAGCACUUUCGUUGGGGAAGAAAUGCUCAAGGCUAAUACCCUUGAGAGUUGACGUUACCCAAAGAAGAAGCACCGGCUAACUCUGUACCAGCAGCCGCGGUAAUACAGAGGGUGCAAGCGUUAAUCGGAGUUACUGGGCGUAAAGGGCGCGUAGGUGGAUAUCUAAGUCGGAUGUGAAAUCCCCGGGCUUAACCUGGGAAUUGCAUUCGAUACUGGAUAUCUAGAGUAUGGUAGAGGAAAGCGGAAUUCCCGGUGUAGCGGUGAAAUGCGUAGAUAUCGGGAAGAACAUCAGGGCGAAGGCGGCUUUCUGGACCAAUACUGACACUGAGGCGCGAAAGCGUGGGGAGCAAACA
Molecule: ribosomal RNA, 426 nt
Filed under: uncultured prokaryote
Description: bacterial SSU rRNA
Rfam family: Bacterial small subunit ribosomal RNA
Source: RNAcentral